AGCUACCGGGCCUAUCGCGUCGCCGGGUCGCCGCCGCGACGCGCAGCCCGCCUGCUGCACCGCCUCAGACCAAAGGCGCGGGAGGAGGAGAAGAGAGGGAGAGAGCGCGUGCAGAGCGAAUUGGCAACGGGGGCAUUGUUUUUGAUACUUGGAGAAGGAAGAUGCAAUCUGUUGGCUAUGCCGGGUUGAUGCACCAGACUUCGAUAUGAUGUUGCUUACUGACAGAAAUGAAGCUAUGUGACUUGACCAUGGUGGAUGAUCUAUGGCGCACUUGUGUACAUGGAACUUUCUGAAUACAUGAAAUACCUAGAUGUUUCUAGGAUACAGGAGUUUUAAAAACAAUCAUCACUAGAACGGUGGCUUCUGCAUAUGUGAUGCUCAAUUCGACCACGGUGUCUAGCAAAGCCAAUAGAGGGAACAUGUUGUCUAUUCCUCGCAGUUACGCAUAAAAUCUUGCUUCCUUAUGUGAACCAAGCGAAGGAACCGGUGGCUGGCAAUUUCCUGGAAAGAUUCAGAUGGGGAAUGGGAACAGGGUUGGUUGCUGUGUGACACUGUAGGUGUAGCACGUCCUUUUCUUUUCGUGUCCCUAGUCAACAAUAUCUGGCCUUUCUUGCAUGGAAAAUUUGGAAGAAAGCCACCAAGGAUGACCACCUCAACUUAAUAGUAGUACUGUAUGAUUUUUUGAAGGGGAAGGUGAGACUAAGUUAUCAGGUGCCUCCCAGUGUAUUGUAUGUAAUUGAUGAAGGAACGUGCAUGAUUGAGCUUUUUUUUAAAUAUAAAAUAUGCUCCCUCCGUUCCAUAAUAAGCGUCGUGGUUUUAGUUCAAAUUUAAACUAAAACCAUGACGCUUAUAUGGAAUGGAGGGGCUCAGAGACUA
This is a long non-coding RNA of Triticum aestivum (bread wheat), 876 nucleotides long. RefSeq lists it as uncharacterized. The transcript is spliced from 5 exons. The record is from RefSeq and is a predicted model, not a curated record. Lineage: Eukaryota; Viridiplantae; Streptophyta; Magnoliopsida; Poales; Poaceae.